AUUGAACGCUGGCGGCAGGCUUAACACAUGCAAGUCGAACGGAGUGGCGCACGGGUGAGUAAUGUAUAGCUAAUCUGCCCUACACUAGAGGACAACAGUUGGAAACGACUGCUAAUACUCUAUAGUGUAGGAUGAGGCUAUAUUGUAUCAGCUAGUUGGUGAGGUAAUGGCUCACCAAGGCUAUGACGCAUAACUGGUCUGAGAGGAUGAUCAGUUAAAACGGAACUGGGACAACGGCCAGACUCCUUCGGGGGGCAGCAGGAGGGGAUAUUGCUUAAAGGGGGAAACCCUGAAGCAGCAACGCCGCGUGGAGGAUGACACUUUUCGGAGCGUAAACUCCUUUUGUUAGGGAAGCGGUACCUAACGAAUAAGCACCGGCUAACUCCGUGCCAGCAGCCGCGGUAAUAC
This 408-nucleotide ribosomal RNA is filed under the name uncultured bacterium. Its description in RNAcentral is "partial 16S ribosomal RNA". It matches the Rfam family "Bacterial small subunit ribosomal RNA", at positions 30 to 526 of the family's 1533-position model. The record is from RNAcentral.